This 253-nucleotide ribosomal RNA is filed under the name uncultured bacterium. RNAcentral's name for it is "partial 16S ribosomal RNA". It matches the Rfam family "Bacterial small subunit ribosomal RNA", at positions 524 to 776 of the family's 1533-position model. The record is from RNAcentral.
UACGUAGGGUGCGAGCGUUGUCCGGAAUCACUGGGCGUAAAGGGCGCGUAGGUGGCGCUCCAAGUCUGUGGUGAAAGCUCGACGCUCAACGUCGAGUCGGCCAUAGAGACUGGAGGGCUCGAGCACUGUAGGGGCAGAUGGAAUUCCGGGUGUAGCGGUGGAAUGCGUAGAGAUCCGGAAGAACACCGGUGGCGAAGGCGGUCUGCUGGGCAGUUGCUGACACUGAGGCGCGACAGCGUGGGGAGCAAACAGG